Long non-coding RNA from Dipodomys ordii (Ord's kangaroo rat), 316 nucleotides. RefSeq lists it as uncharacterized. The record is from RefSeq and is a predicted model, not a curated record. NCBI's taxonomy places the organism in Eukaryota, Metazoa, Chordata, Mammalia, Rodentia, Heteromyidae. The transcript has 3 exons.
UUCUAGAUAACAGCAAAAGCAUCUAUCAUUUUUGUUACUCUUCAGUAUAAUGUUACUCUCCCUGCAACAGAGGAGCAAGCUACUGAAUCAGCGUCCCUUUAUUACUAUGGUAUCAAAGAUUUGGCUACAGUUUUCUUCUACAUGCUAGUGGCGAUAAUUAUUCAUGCCAUAAUUCAAGAGUAUGUGUUGGAUAAAAUUAAUAGACGAAUGCACUUCUCCAAAACGAAGCACAGCAAAUUCAACGAAUCUGGUCAGCUUAGUGCAUUCUACCUUUUUGCUUGUGUUUGGGGCACAUUCAUUUUAAUCUCUGUAAGUA